ACAACAGACUUUUGUAUUAUUUUGUGUUCUCCUACUGUAUUUGUUUCUUUUGACAGAUUCUGUACAAAGCUAUUUUGGAGCAGAGCGAACUGGAAUCAUCAAACAUGACUCAAACGCAAAGGUUAAGUUCAUCCGCCUCACAAUCUCCGCAUCAAAGUGACACUUCAGAGCUCAAGGUGGGUUGAAUGGAAUAAUAUUAAAAUGUCAACAGGUGUAGAAUGUAAAACAUACAUUUGAAAGUGCAUUGG
RNAcentral lists this long non-coding RNA (248 nucleotides) under Oncorhynchus kisutch (coho salmon). RNAcentral describes it as "lncRNA (ENSOKIG00005018476.1)". The record is from RNAcentral. Lineage: Eukaryota; Metazoa; Chordata; Actinopteri; Salmoniformes; Salmonidae.